CCUACUUAGUCGGGCUUAGUUCUGCGCAGCGGGAACAUUUUUACACGUUUGUAUGAAAUAGCUUUAUACCAAGGACAAGACAUAUUUAUGAGCUACCAUUCAAGUUUCAUCUGAAGCAGUAAGACAUUCCACGGUUUUGGCAUCCUUUUAAAUGCAUGCAAAGACAUUCUUGAUGACAGAAGGUUCACACACAGUUUGACAGCUGUUGUACAGUGUCAUGUUUCUCUGUAGUGGCCUGCUUGAUGUGGUCAGUUUGGGAUGAUAUGUAUUGGACCCAAGGUGGAGCAGUGGUCAUUACCCACCGUCACCCAUCACCAUGCCAAAAACACCUCCUUGCAGCUCCAGUCUCCAUACAGCAUGGUGUCUUCUAGGUGAACUGACUUUACCUGGCUGAACAUGGG
Molecule: long non-coding RNA, 401 nt
Organism: Lingula anatina
Lineage: Eukaryota; Metazoa; Brachiopoda; Lingulata; Lingulida; Lingulidae
Source: RefSeq, a predicted model, not a curated record